Molecule: ribosomal RNA, 753 nt
Filed under: Aplanochytrium stocchinoi
Lineage: Eukaryota; Bigyra; Thraustochytrida; Thraustochytriidae
Description: partial Bacterial small subunit ribosomal RNA
Rfam family: Bacterial small subunit ribosomal RNA
Source: RNAcentral
GUUUGAUCCUGGCUCAGGACGAACGCUGGCGGCGGGCUUAACACAUGCAAGUCGAGCGGAAAGGCCACUUCGGUGGUACUCGAUCGGCGAACGGGUGAGUAACACGUGAGUAAUCUGCCCCUGGCUUUGGGAUAGCCACCGGAAACGGUGAUUAAUACCGGAUAUGACAUGGACUCGCAUGGGUUUGUGUGGAAAGUUUUUCGGCCAGGGAUGUGCUCGCGGCCUAUCAGCUUGAUGGUGAGGUAAUGGCUCACCAUGGCUUCGACGGGUAGCCGGCCUGAGAGGGUGACCGGUCACACUGGGACUGAGACACGGCCCAGACUCCUACGGGAGGCAGCAGUGGGGAAUAUUGGACAAUGGGCGAAAGCCUGAUCCAGCCAUGCCGCGUGUGUGAAGAAGGUCUUCGGAUUGUAAAGCACUUUAAGUUGGGAGGAAGGGCAUUAACCUAAUACGUUAGUGUUUUGACGUUACCGACAGAAUAAGCACCGGCUAACUCUGUGCCAGCAGCCGCGGUAAUACAGAGGGUGCAAGCGUUAAUCGGAAUUACUGGGCGUAAAGCGCGCGUAGGUGGUUUGUUAAGUUGGAUGUGAAAGCCCCGGGCUCAACCUGGGAACUGCAUCCAAAACUGGCAAGCUAGAGUACGGUAGAGGGUGGUGGAAUUUCCUGUGUAGCGGUGAAAUGCGUAGAUAUAGGAAGGAACACCAGUGGCGAAGGCGACCACCUGGACUGAUACUGACACUGAUGUGCGAAAGC